UGCUUGGGUCUCUAGCAGAGGUGAG
Molecule: non-coding RNA, 25 nt
Filed under: Rattus norvegicus (Norway rat)
Lineage: Eukaryota; Metazoa; Chordata; Mammalia; Rodentia; Muridae
Source: RNAcentral